RNAcentral lists this long non-coding RNA (2615 nucleotides) under Populus tremula. Its description in RNAcentral is "long non-coding RNA (PTRE_LNC001077)". The record is from RNAcentral. Lineage: Eukaryota; Viridiplantae; Streptophyta; Magnoliopsida; Malpighiales; Salicaceae.
GAUGACCAAUUAUGGACCUAAUUGAGAAAAUCCAAAACCAAGGAUCAAAUUGAAAAAGAUGCGUAAAUAGUAAGGCUGUAAUUAACCAAAUCAAGGGCUAAAUUCAAGAAAUUGAAAAUUUAUUGAUCAAUUGAGGGUCAAAUUCCAUAAAUCAAAGACCAAGAACCAAAGUGAAAAAGACGGUCAACUAUAAGGCUGCCGAUUGAAGUUGGCAGAGAUGUAAUUGAAUUGAUUCUUAAAAUCAAAAUUACAUUUUAAGGAUUAAAAGAACAAAGGAUAAAUUGAGGAUUGAUUUGAAAAUUGAUGUGUUUUGGCGCUGUUUUUUAUUUAAAUGAAUCAGCAUAUUUCAUCCAAAACGACGCCGUUUCAUGUUUAAAAAAAAAAGGAACAAAACAGUGUCGUUUGAAUGACUAUUCCUCCUCCUUCCCCUGGACGUGUAGCAUGACACCAUUCCUCCUCCUUCCCCUGGGACAUGCAGCAGGGGAAUGACACUAUUCCUCCAAAACAACAAUGACGCCGCAUUUAUAUAAAUUAAUUUUACAUGAAACAACUCAUGUAAAUAUCAACCAGAUAUCGUUAUCUCACAUAAAAAAAAAAUCAAGAAACAAUUCAUAUAAAUGAAUGCUAUAAAAAUAAUAUAUAAGGCAUUAAGUGUAAUAUUGUUAUCCCGUGUCUAAAAGUUAAUAUACAACCCAUGUGGAUAUAAACUAUAAAAAAAUAAAAUAUAAGACAUUAGUUAUCUCACAUAGAAAUUUUAGAAGAACAUUUCAAGUAGAUAUAAGCUACAUAUAAUUAUUCUAUAUAGAAAAAUUAAAAAAUAAUUAAUGUGAAUAUAAAGUAUAAAAAACAUAUGAGACUAGGUAUUCAUAAAGUAAUUUUAAGAUAUACAAGUCUCAACUUAAUUAGGCCAAGUCACUCGACUCACGAAUUAACUUAACCUCCAAAGGCGAGCCAGAUUUCUUAAUCAUGGUGUGCAGAGCAUCAAAUCUUUGACUCGUCAAGAUGCUAGACUUCAAAUAUAUUCUCCUAAGGGAAGAGUUUGAGGAUCACAACAAUUCUUUGUAAGUAAUUUAUUUAUCAAAGAAUUAAUACCUAAACUUAGUAAAAUCAUUAUGCCUCAAUAUUGUGCUUAGUAUCAUCAGUCAUCUACAAACCCUAGAUAUUCAAUGGUGUUAAUAUUAUCACCCAAUUAUUAUUAUUUUUUUCAUUUUUUGAACUUAAGAAUUAUUCUAAAAAACAUGUGACUUUAAGAAGUCAUAAAUCAUAUUGGUUAAUUUAUAUCUCAAAAAUACGGCAGAAUUUAACAAAAACAGCACAGUAACCAGUUCCCAAACAUUGUUUUUGCCUCACAAUACAGCACAGAACAGUAUAGUAACCACAACCCCGCAAAACAUAGAUUCUCCGCUUGCUCUCAAUCAAACUUCUUCAUCACUUUCUCACCUUUUAUCUGAAACUAUAGGUUAAUGAAUCAUUCAAUGUCAAAUAAAUAAAUCAAUUUAUAAAAAUUACAAGAAUAACCAAGGGAUCUCAUGCUUUUAUCUAUAAAACGAAAAAUUUUUAUUGAAAACCAUUUUGUUUGAUUUAAAAAUUAAUUAAUUGUUGGUUUUUACAACAAAAAGUUUAAUGUUUCUGGUUUCAAUUAUUAAAAAAAAAAACAGAACAAAACGAUUAAAUAAACAAUAGAUCGAGUAACCAUAAAAAUAAAAGCAUGAGAUCCAUCUACCAGGCACUUGGAGUUGGCCUAAGUUCGUGGGAACCAGAUCCAGCACAAGGCAACCAACCAUUUUCUGGUGAAGCACAAACCAAAACAACAUGCAAAAUGCAGGUGUUCAAGAUUUGUCGACAUAUUCUUUAGAGGUUAUAGUUUAAUUUGUUGAACCAAAGUCUUAUCAUAAAUAAGCUGACUCAACUGGAUUCUCACUCCCAUCCAUAACUGGGGAACAAGGGCUCCUCUGCACUAGGCUUCAGAUCUUGGAUUGUGCUAUUGAUCAUAGGCUAACAGAACACAACUGCUUUGACAUAUUUCCUUGCAUCUAAAAGCGUAAAUUCAUUGACAUUGGGUUUUGCAAGGCCUUGCAAAUCAUCCCCAUCUAGUUUCCAGUUUCUAUAGGCUACAGCUAAAUGCAUUCCAUACAUAUCUCCCUAACAACUUGAAUCUCAAAUAGCCAAACUCAGUCAUAACAAGCAAAUUAUUACUGUGAAGAUGACAACAGCAAAUCCAACCAGCAAGCAAAAAGAGUAAUAAUCAAAAGACAUGAAAUAAACAGAAUACAAAACAAAAUGAAAUGACUUCAAAAAAUUGAUUCAAAGGGAAAGAUUAUAUUUUCACCUGAAAUAGUUGAUGUCAAAUUUCAAGAACGGACCAAAACCAUGUUAUAAUUUUGUCAGAUUGUCUCCCUCAUAAAACCGACACAGUAUUCAUUCCCUUCCUAAAAUGGAUUCUCCUCUCCUAUAAUUGCAACAACCAAAGGAGAAGAAGCCAUUUUAGGAAGAGGAAUGAACAACGUGCCCAGAGAGAAAAAGAAGCAGCCAUGAACAAGGGAUUAGGGUUUUCCUUGCUUUCGAUCGUUUUUAUGCUUGCAUAUAUAUAGGGCGUACCUUUUACCCUCACGACC